This 406-nucleotide ribosomal RNA is filed under the name uncultured bacterium. RNAcentral's name for it is "partial 16S ribosomal RNA". It matches the Rfam family "Bacterial small subunit ribosomal RNA", at positions 30 to 526 of the family's 1533-position model. The record is from RNAcentral.
AUUGAACGCUGGCGGCAGGCCUAACACAUGCAAGUCGAACGAGUAGCGGACGGGUGAGUAAUGUAUGGGAAACUGCCCGAUGGAGGGGGAUAACUACUGGAAACGGUAGCUAAUACCGCAUACCAUCGGAUGUGCCCAGAUGGGAGUAGCUUGUAGGUGAGGUAAACGCUCACCUAGGGGACGAGCCCUAGCUGGUCUGAGAGGAUGAACAGCGACCCUGGAACUGAGACACUGUGCAGACUCCUACGGGAGGCAGCAGUGGGGAAUAUUGCACAAUGGGCGGAAGCCUGAUGCAGCUAUGCCGCGUGUAUGAAGAAGGCCUUCGGGUUGUAAAGUACUUUCAGCGGGGAGGCGUUACCCGCAGAAGAAGCACCGGCUAACUCCGUGCCAGCAGCCGCGGUAAUUC